RNAcentral lists this ribosomal RNA (460 nucleotides) under uncultured bacterium. RNAcentral's name for it is "partial 16S ribosomal RNA". It matches the Rfam family "Bacterial small subunit ribosomal RNA", at positions 338 to 795 of the family's 1533-position model. The record is from RNAcentral.
CCUACGGGAGGCAGCAGUGAGGAAUAUUGGUCAAUGGACGAGAGUCUGAACCAGCCAAGUAGCGUGAAGGAUGACUGCCCUCUGUCUUGUAAACUUCUUUUAUAUGGGAAUAAAACGUUCCACGUGUGGGAUUUUGUAUGUACCAUAUGAAUAAGGAUCGGCUAACUCCGUGCCAGCAGCCGCGGUAAUACGGAGUAUCCGAGCGUUAUCCGGAUUUAUUGGGUUUAAAGGGAGCGUAGGUGGAUUGUUAAGUCAGUUGUGAAAGUGUGCGGCGCAACCGUAAAAUUGUAGUUGAAACUGGCAGUCUUGAGUACAGUAGAGGUGGGCGGAAUUCGUGGUGUAGCGGUGAAAUGCUUAGAUAUCACGAAGAACUCCGAUUGCGAAGGCAGUUCACUGGACUGCAACUGACACUGAGGCUCGAAAGUGUGGGUAUCAAACAGGAUUAGAUACCCCUGUAGUC